Molecule: long non-coding RNA, 1128 nt
Organism: Manis pentadactyla (Chinese pangolin)
Lineage: Eukaryota; Metazoa; Chordata; Mammalia; Pholidota; Manidae
Exons: 3
Source: RefSeq, a predicted model, not a curated record
CUCUAAGAUACAUUAAUUUUAACACUCAUAUUUGCUAAUUUUUGUUAAAGAAGUUUCUUACUUCCCUCAAAAAAAUGCUCCAUGACACAUUUUUUUUUCCAGUUAAAGAGAACUGAAUUAUUUUGGUGGAGGAUUUUUAAGCAAACUUUGGGGUUAUUGCAAGCAAGCUGCCAGUUCUUAAAGACAGUGUUGUCAAUUACUGACUUUAGAGGGUGAAUUUUCUCCAAAUUGCCUAUAUGAUGUCACCAAAAUUUUCUUUUCUAACUCCCACAAAUAGUUUUGGUACCCUGCCCCUCCUACACAAAUUCACUUUGGAGAUUUGCAAGGGAUUUAAUUCUGGAUGUGGCCUAGGGCUUGACAAGCAACUUCCUGGAAAGGCUUUGCAAGAAGAGCUUCUUAGAUGAAAAUCAUCCUGGCUCAGUUCAGCUUUCCUCUUGGUGUGAAAGUCCGUUAUGACUCAUGCAAUUGUUUAGUUUACAUUGGCCCUUCUUAGGGAUCUACAAGGACAUGAUACAGUGUGCUCAUAUCAAAGUUAUAAUAUUUUUAAAAGAGACAACUUGGGAGAAAGCCACAAUGGAUUCUGAUACUUCUUUAUUUAAAAAAUCCAAGUUAACCUCAAAUAUGUUACCUUUAUCUCCCUAGAACAGAAGAGAAAUACGAAGACCUUAAAGCUAACCAAUACUCAUUGGUAUUUCAGGAGGCUGACAACAGAAUGUUUCUGUUGGUAGAGAAUGACAACUAUCAACUGAUUUCCAAAGAGAAAAUGAAGAAUAAGGGAAUAAAGGAAAACUACCCAAAGUCAACAUGAGAAUGCCAUCCUUCUCCAGAGAAGACAUACAGAUGGCCAACUGUUAUAUGAAAAGAUGCUCAACAUCACUAAUCAUCAGGAAAAUGCAAAUCAAAACACGGUGAGAUCCGGCCAAGGCCACAAACCUGGGAAGUCCUCAGCCAUCUGCUGAGCAUGGAUGGAUUCUAGGGCCUGGCCAUCUUGACAGGACGUGUCUAAUCAGCAGUCUUCUACCCACAGUUCCUAUGGGGUUGGUUGAGUUUAUCUAAAGCCCUCCUUUCCUCCCUGCCUUCCUUUCAGAAGGGUCAGAUGUGCACUGUUCUAAUGGCUUUCCUGCCCAA